CCUCCUCCGCCUUAGGUACCAUUUCCUAUGGGCCAGGGUGACGAACCGAAUGUUAAAGGAAUUUCUCAGGAUGGGACCUUCGACUAUUGCUGGGGGAAUGGAUCCGAGGACUGUCAAGUCUUAGAUCUCAGCCUUAGAGAAAAUUUUCAAGGUCAUGCAUUGCCGUGACCAUCAGAAGGUUUUUCUAGCAACUUUAGGGAGAGUCUGAACGUUGGUGGACGAUGAACAAAUUGGCAGACCAAACAGUGAGUUGGGCAAUUUUGGGCGCAGUUUCUGGUACUAUGUAAAGAGAAGUAUAUUCCGUAAUUCAUUCUAGAUGUUAAGUCGACCGAAUUUCAACAUUUGAAACAGCGAGGUUUAUAUGACCGUGACUACUUACGAGGCAGAAUUCACUAAUCUUGUGGAGCCGCAUAUCAUCAGGAAUCAUAUGCGGUGCAUACUUCGCAAGAUUAGUGAAUUCCGCCUCGUAAGCAGUCACGGCCAUAUAACCCCGUUGUUUCAGCUGUUGAAAUUUCGUCGACGUAGCAUCCAGAAUGGAUUGCAGAAUAUACUCCUCUUUAAAUAGUAUCAGAAACUGCACCCAACUCACUUUUUGGUCUGAUGGUCACGACAACGCAUGACCUGAAAAUUUUCUCUAAGGCUAAGAUCCAAGACUUGAAGUCCUCUCCUUCCAUGGCCGGCUAAACUCCUAUUCUAGGGUUAGAUGAAGGUUUCUUCCAAGUAGUUUGAGUUUUGCUUGUACUUUAAGGUUUAUUCAUUUGUAUCUUAUGUUGUAUGCCUAAGGAUAUUUUCAUUUCUAAUGGAGGGUUUGAAUGUUUUCCAUUA
This is a long non-coding RNA of Rhododendron vialii, 825 nucleotides long. RefSeq lists it as uncharacterized. Lineage: Eukaryota; Viridiplantae; Streptophyta; Magnoliopsida; Ericales; Ericaceae. The transcript is spliced from 2 exons. The record is from RefSeq and is a predicted model, not a curated record.